This 23-nucleotide non-coding RNA is filed under the name Arabidopsis thaliana (thale cress). Lineage: Eukaryota; Viridiplantae; Streptophyta; Magnoliopsida; Brassicales; Brassicaceae. The record is from RNAcentral.
ACUAGCCUUCUUAAAAAGACCAG